UCGGUCCCUAUCUGCCGUGGGCGCUGGAGAAUUGAGGGGGGCUGCUCCUAGUACGAGAGGACCGGAGUGGACGCAUCACUGGUGUUCGGGUUGUCAUGCCAAUGGCACUGCCCGGUAGCUAAAUGCGGAAGAGAUAAGUGCUGAAAGCAUCUAAGCACGAAACUUGCCCCGAGAUGAGUUCUCCCUGAGACUUUAAGUCUCCUGAAGGAACGUUGAAGACGACGACGUUGAUAGGCCGGGUGUGUAAGCGCAGCGAUGCGUUGAGCUAACCGGUACUAAUGAACCGUGAGGCUUAACCUU
RNAcentral lists this ribosomal RNA (300 nucleotides) under Enterobacter cloacae. Its description in RNAcentral is "bacterial LSU rRNA". It matches the Rfam family "Bacterial large subunit ribosomal RNA", at positions 2631 to 2925 of the family's 2925-position model. The record is from RNAcentral. RNAcentral also lists the same sequence under 7 other names. Lineage: Bacteria; Pseudomonadati; Pseudomonadota; Gammaproteobacteria; Enterobacterales; Enterobacteriaceae.